GCUACCACUAGUACAUCUUAUCGAGUGAUAACAUUCAUGUUAAAUAUUGUUCAUUUUCUCCUACAAAUUAAAUAUUUUACAGUACCUACCUCAUCAGUGAUGCUUGAUAAAGUUGAAGUGUUGGCACUCUGCAGGCCACUGAAGCAACAGAAGCUCACUGAUAUGUGAAUAAACCAAGGGGAAACAUCCUGGGCUGAGCGAUGAGGCCGAUAAGGAAGUGUAAAAAGCUGCAGUUCACUGGGUGGACACAGAGGGCCGGCUCCAAGAAACAGAAAGUCCCAUAGACUCCCAUGUUCAAAAGGCAGACUUUAGAGCAGAAUUAAACCUGUUUACAGCAAGGUUCAAAACUUGGUUUUAGUCUCAAUCGCGAGGUUCUUUCUUAAUGACAACUGUGAGGGGGGUGAAUUUUUUUAAGCGAUAUAUAGGUUUGAAAUUCACGUCACGUCACAGUCAGCGCGACGACUGCAACUCCUAGCCUGCUGCCUGCUCGGCUCUACUGGAGCUAACAGGCUAAUCCCCGGUCAGUGAACAGCACCUGAGACUGUGGAAAGGCCAGUGGCGGCUGGUGAAAAUUAUUCUAGGUGGGGCUGUAGGUGCCAGAAGCUUUCGGUAACUAUCCCAAUAAAAGAACCCAAACCAAAAGAUACCAUUGUUUUAGGGAUAAACAAUAAUUAUUUAAUUGCCCUUUAAAAACAACAGUUUGACAGAUAAUGACAAUGAUAUGAGAUGUAUAUUAGUGAAUACUCUUAAUACAAAAUUCAAGUUCUUGAGAGACAUUUACAAGUGGUUGAUGAUUAAAAAUAACUAUAUACAAAGAAAAACUGUCUCAUAGGAACAUAAAAUGUACCAAUUGGAUUACAUAUAUUAGUGAAUACUCUUAGUACAAAUUACAAUAUCAUUGUAUAUUAUUGUAAUAUUUACAGGUGGAUGAUUAAAGUUAACUAUAUACAGUUAGCAUUAGCUGUAAGGUGGAAUCAGGGUCAGCUAUGGCAUGAUAGAAGCAAGAGCGGCAGACAACGUUACUCACCCCGCUGGUGCGCGCUACCGCACUCGUCUUCCCCGGUGGAGCGACUCCACGCUGUAAGCCAGUCCGGCAAUGUGACAAGGUGUCUCAGUCAAAUGUGCCGACCAAGGUCCCGGAACGAAACAACAGCGCCAGGGAGACGCGAGUAAGAGUGGGCUGCUGCCUUAAAUAGGGGCUGACAGCGCCCCCAGUGGCAGGGAGGGCACCCGCAUCUGGCCACACUAGGAUACUUAAAGCUUGGUGCGAUAUUUUUAGCGCCCCAAGCUUAUCAAAUUUGAUGACGCUCAUUGGCUAAUUUACCCGUUGCUAUGUGUUUUUUUGCCUCAGCAACAGCCUACCAUUGGCUGAGCUGCUGCAGUGCUGGGGCGACUUUCCCAGCGCCCCAGGAGGGAGGAGAAAUGACCAUGGACACAAAUUAUCCCCUAACUAAUGGUUUAUAUUAUAUGUAUGACUGGUUCUUGAUGAUUCAAAACAUAUUUAUUUGUAGAAUAAGCAGUACUUAAAUUAUUAUUUUGAAAAAAAUAAAAAAAUAAAAAUAAUUUUUAAAAAUCACUUUCAAUCAGGUGGGGCGGCGCCCUAGCGCCCCCUAUUGGCCAGCCGCCACUGGGAAAGGCUUCCACUCACAUAUCGGAUGAAUAACACGGUUUGAUGUUCUGCUUGUUCUCCUGACGGACAAGUUAAAGACGUCUGCGCUCCCGCUUCUGUGGAUGUCCAACAUGAGCCACAACUGGAAUCCAACCAGACUGAACACUGAGUCAUCACUUUAACACUGACUCCAGGGAUGGACGAGCCUGAGGGACACAGCUGUGAUGACCGUGUUCUGUCUCUUAUGGCAAAGAAGAAAAAUAAAACACUGGGUUCUUAUCUAAAGUGUAUCAAAUCAGAAAGCAAAAGAUAAACAUUGUUCUAAUAAGUGUACAUUUUUUAACCAACCAUAAUGAAUAUAGAAAUUAACUCUAUUAUCCAUGACACUUAGCAAUGACUGCCAACUCUAAACAGUUGCAGGCCAUCUUUAGUUAAGGGAGGAAAACAUGAAGUGUUGUGCAGGUCGUCCUCAUGUUGACCAGCCUGAAGCUGCCGAUCUCCACCAUGUUGCUGCUGAGGACAUCAGGUGCAGUUCUUCAUCUAAUGAAAAGAAGAAACUCACUAUUAAAGAAUGUUUUGUGUUGUGUAUGAAGCACCACAGAUGUCGGACAGAACCGAUGUACUGGGCUCUGGGUUUGUAUCCUCAUGGUUAAAUGCACAUAUUUUAAGUUGCCUUGGAUAAAAGUGCUGAAAGAAAUAAAACAUUUUACAAAUAGAUCAAAUGUCUUUCUACCUAAUCUGUAAUAUUCAAGGUGAUAAUCUCCCACAGAGCUGUUGAUAACAGUCCACAUCAAGUCUCUCCACUUCCCUCAGUGUGAAGACAUAAUUAUAUAAUUAAUACGAGAACUGUCUAAACUGUCUAAUUCACUCAUUCCAUAACAGGCUAAAUAAACGAGGUGCAAUAGUAAUGGUGGAUAUACCAGCCUGUAUCAGAAUAUUUGUGAAACAUAGUUACUAUCACAUGCAACCUUCACAUGUAGCGUAUUGAUAUUAACUUAUUAAAAUAAAAAAUCAAGUCCCAACCAAACACACGACUCUGUAGUUAACUUGCUUCAAUCUGUUCAUUAGACGUGUUAAAUAAACGGUAACUUUUAUAACAAUUACAUAUUAAAAACCACUUGAGGCAUGUUAGCAUAUGAUUAUGAUGAUAUAUAAAGCAAUAGGUUUUGUUGUAUAGUUUCAAGGUUACAUAUCUCUAGUUCAUGGUAAAGACCGCGACCAUCCGGCUGGGCAGCGCUAGCUGUUAGCACCGGCGACUAAUAUGUCGACGGUAGCUGGUUAGCCGUAGCC
Pleuronectes platessa (European plaice) is the source of this 2899-nucleotide long non-coding RNA. RefSeq lists it as uncharacterized. Lineage: Eukaryota; Metazoa; Chordata; Actinopteri; Pleuronectiformes; Pleuronectidae. The transcript has 3 exons. The record is from RefSeq and is a predicted model, not a curated record.